UUUCCGUAGGUGAACCUGCGGAAGGAUCAUUACUGAAGAAAUGCGUUAGUUAGUUGAGCUGACUCCCCUUAGGAGUAUGUGCUCGCUAUAUCGCUUUUUCUAACUCUCUCCACUGUGCACCCUAUUGUAGGCUAUGAUAAGGUUUAGAAGGCUUUUAUGCAUUCAUUCAUUUUGUUUGCUUGCUUGCUUUCAACUUUGUAGCCUAUGUCUUACACAAACUCUUUGAUAGUCUUAUGAAUGUGUGUAUCCAAAUUGGUCUUUGAUCAAUACAAGUCAUAUAUACAACUUUCAGCAACGGAUCUCUUGGCUCUCGCAUCGAUGAAGAACGCAGCGAAAUGCGAUAAGUAAUGUGAAUUGCAGAAUUCAGUGAAUCAUCGAAUCUUUGAACGCACCUUGCACUCCUUGGGUAUUCCGAGGAGUAUGCCUGUUUGAGUGUCAUUAUAUUCUCAAAAACCUAGCUGUUCUCUGAAUGACUAGGCUUUUUGGAUGUGAGGGAUUGCUGGCUUUCUAUCGAGUCUGGCUCCCUUCAAAUGCAUUAGUGGUUGCUUCAUUCACUAGAGUGUGAUAGUAUAUCUACGCUUGUUACAGUGAACUGAAUAUAAAUCAUCUGCUUUCCAACUGUCUUGAAACAUAACAGACAUAUUUUGACUAU
RNAcentral lists this small RNA (652 nucleotides) under Megacollybia marginata. RNAcentral describes it as "eukaryotic LSU rRNA". The stretch from base 284 to 438 matches the Rfam family "5.8S ribosomal RNA". Lineage: Eukaryota; Fungi; Basidiomycota; Agaricomycetes; Agaricales; Porotheleaceae. The record is from RNAcentral.